GCCCCAACCGCUAGUUACAAUGUUGUGUGGCUGCUAGCUCUAGUCCCAUGCGAUUCUUCUCCACUCUUAGCUUUAGUUUCUACAUACGUCAUGUGUGGAAAGAAGAUGACUUGGCUUAACAGCGAAGCCCAAUUGCGUUGCAGAUCAUAAGUAGAGGGGGACCAAGGCGAUAUUAUUGUGAUUUACCAGAGGAACGAUAUUUCCCAACUUAGAGAGAAUAGAGAUUAUCUUGUCUCAUUAAUUCAGAAUAUUAUCGGUCAA
Long non-coding RNA from Triticum dicoccoides, 261 nucleotides. RefSeq lists it as uncharacterized. The record is from RefSeq and is a predicted model, not a curated record. Lineage: Eukaryota; Viridiplantae; Streptophyta; Magnoliopsida; Poales; Poaceae. The transcript is spliced from 2 exons.